GUUCAACUGAAGAGUCCCAAAUAGGACGAAACGCACGUCCUUGAAU
Schistosoma curassoni is the source of this 46-nucleotide non-coding RNA. Lineage: Eukaryota; Metazoa; Platyhelminthes; Trematoda; Strigeidida; Schistosomatidae. The record is from Rfam.